AUUGAACGCUGGCGGCGUGCCUAACACAUGCAAGUCGAGCGGUAACAGGUGUAGCAAUACAUGCUGACGAGCGGCGGACGGGUGAGUAACGCUUGGGAUCUGCCUAUUAGUGGGGGACAACCCGGGGAAACUCGGGCUAAUACCGCAUACGCUCUACGGAGGAAAGCCGGGGACCGCAAGGCCUGGCGCUAAUAGAUGAGCCCAAGUCGGAUUAGCUAGUUGGUAGGGUGAUGGCCUACCAAGGCGACGAUCCGUAACUGGUCUGAGAGGACGACCAGUCACACCGGAACUGAGACACGGUCCGGACUCCUACGGGAGGCAGCAGUGGGGAAUAUUGGACAAUGGGCGAAAGCCUGAUCCAGCGACGCCGCGUGGGUGAAGAAGGCCUGCGGGUUGUAAGCCCUUUCAGUGGGGAAGAAAGCCUCGACCUACACGUCGGGUCUUGACGUACCCAUAG
RNAcentral lists this ribosomal RNA (457 nucleotides) under uncultured bacterium. RNAcentral describes it as "bacterial SSU rRNA". It matches the Rfam family "Bacterial small subunit ribosomal RNA", at positions 29 to 484 of the family's 1533-position model. The record is from RNAcentral.